UCACAUCGACAGAUUCCCAUAUUCCGCCGCUACGGGCGUGUGAGAAUUCCGCGCACGGCCGACUUAACACCAGCAAAUCCGGCACAAUCGUGAUGACAACGACAAAUCGGUUGGCGGCGGGCGGCUGCGACUAUAUUCAUGGAUUUGCAGACGUUUUAGGAGACAUACACAGCUAAUGGCAUCUCUCGACUCGGUCAGCAUUGCCAUUCUGCUCGGCUCGGU
This 222-nucleotide unclassified non-coding RNA is filed under the name Hevea brasiliensis (rubber tree). Lineage: Eukaryota; Viridiplantae; Streptophyta; Magnoliopsida; Malpighiales; Euphorbiaceae. The record is from RNAcentral.